UGCUGCGCAACUCCUAUCCCUACCUCCACGCGGUACCGGCCGGAAACUAUGAGCAACCUUAGGGAAGAUCGGGUAACCAACCCCGGUGGGAACUUUGGUCGUAGGCUGACAGGGAAGG
This is a non-coding RNA of Aedes albopictus (Asian tiger mosquito), 118 nucleotides long. NCBI's taxonomy places the organism in Eukaryota, Metazoa, Arthropoda, Insecta, Diptera, Culicidae. The record is from Rfam.